Molecule: ribosomal RNA, 484 nt
Filed under: uncultured bacterium
Lineage: Bacteria
Description: partial 16S ribosomal RNA
Rfam family: Bacterial small subunit ribosomal RNA
Source: RNAcentral
GACGAACGCUGGCGGCGUGCUUAACACAUGCAAGUCGAACGAUGAAGCCGGAGCUUGCUCCGGCGGAUUAGUGGCGAACGGGUGAGUAACACGUGAGUAACCUGCCCUUGACUCUGGGAUAAGCGUUGGAAACGACGUCUAAUACCGGAUACGAACCGCGACGGCAUCGUCUGCGGUUGGAAAGAAUUUCGGUCAAGGAUGGACUCGCGGCCUAUCAGCUUGUUGGUGAGGUAAUGGCUCACCAAGGCGACGACGGAUAGCCGGCCUGAGAGGGUGACCGGCCACACUGGAACUGAGACACGGUCCAGACUCCUACGGGAGGCAGCAGUGGGGAAUAUUGCACAAUGGGCGAAAGCCUGAUGCAGCAACGCCGCGUGAGGGAUGACGGCCUUCGGGUUGUAAACCUCUUUUAGCAGGGAAGAAGCGAAAGUGACGGUACCUGCAGAAAAAGCACCGGCUAACUACGUGCCAGCAGCCGCGGUAA